This 1331-nucleotide long non-coding RNA is filed under the name Cyanistes caeruleus (blue tit). RNAcentral describes it as "lncRNA (ENSCCEG00000013166.1)". The record is from RNAcentral. Lineage: Eukaryota; Metazoa; Chordata; Aves; Passeriformes; Paridae.
UGCCUCUGUUCAGAAGGAGUGAGUGCAGAGAUCAGAUACACAGUUGUAUAGGUACACAAGGGUCAGGACUGCAAGCAGUUAAUUGAAUUUUUAACUCCAGAGGAUGUUUGGGCCAUAGUUUUUGGAUUCAGUCAACCUCAUCAGGUUAGGUACCUUGCCUAACCUCCCUAGGCAGCUCUCCUGCUCAGUCUGAUGUCUCACUAGAGAUAUCAACCCAUUCUGUGAGAGAGCAACCCCCUUAUUUUCGGUAUGCUUCUGUUGUUGCUCUAGGCUACAACAGAGUAGAGCUCUGGGCUCUAGCUUGUCCCAUUUUUUUCCAGUACCUUGUGCUAGUGAUUCACAACAUCUUUGCUGUCAAAAAGCCACAGUUUUUAGUGGGAAAGCAUGAGACACAACCGGGUCGAAGGGAGGAGAGGUGAUUUAAACAAAGGACUGUGGCAUAUCUCCAUCUGUGCAGUCAGCUGUCACGCGUGGCCUCCCGGAUGGGAACAAGAAGUCUGCUCAUAGGCUGCAACAUUUCUAAAGUGUAUAAACAGCAAAUGCUUCUUUUGGUCUAUGACUUGCAAAAUAUUGUAGCAACCUUAAAAAUGCCACAACAUAACAAAGAGAAGUUCCAUGUGAAUUAUGGGGAGAAAGGACUGAAGGGACAUGGAGCGAACUUCAAAGGAAAAAAAAGAAGGUGGCAGAUUUGUCAGCCAUUGAAGUUGCAGAUGCCUGGGAAACAGAAAAUUGAAAAGGUUAAUUAAUUCUUGUCAGCACUAUCUAGAAUUUCAUUUGAUUUUCUUAUUUCUCUGUUUUGCAAUCUUGUCCUCAGAAACCCUGUACUUUGGUAAAGGAAGGAGCAUUUAAACCUGUCAGGUUUCAGAUGCAGCCAAAUGAGAAUGAAUCUACUAGAGAGAAGAGUUUGCAAAAUCAAGCACCCAGAUGUUUCUUGGCUGCUGAAGUAUGCAGUCUUGCAGCUCUUUUGGAGUUUGCCCUCUUUGCAAUACAGAGCUAAGCAACUGAAUUUGAGAGGUGUUGGUGAGGAGAUAAAAGGCAUUCUGCUCCAUUCCUGUGGAGAAGACCAGCUGCUUUCAUCAGGUGUCUUCCAUUUUGGCUCUAAUGGGGAGGAAAAAAAGUGCCAAAACACAGGCAAUCCCGAAACCCCAAACUGGUGUACAUGUCCGGGUAAACAGAGGGAGAAUGAAGAACACACACAGUCACUGUCGGCCUGUAAGAGGAGAGAAUAUCUCUUCUAUUCUUGAGUUUGUCCUUUUUGUCUUUCCAUGAAUUUUCAUUACUAUCAAUGCCAUUAAGUUUCCCACUGGCAACUGACUAGUUUUUUCAAGGAG